AUUGAACGCUGGCGGCAGGCCUAACACAUGCAAGUCGAGCGGACGAAGGGAGCUCGCUCCUGGAUUCAGCGGCGGACGGGCGAGUAAUGCCUAGGAAUCUGCCUGGUCGUGGGGGAUAACGUCCGGACACGGGCGCUAAUACCGCAUACGUCCUGAGGGUGAAAGUGGGGGAUCUUCGGACCUCACGCUAUCAGAUGAGCCUAGGUCGGAUUAGCUAGUUGGUGGGGUAAAGGCCUACCAAGGCGACGAUCCGUAACUGGUCUGAGAGGAUGAUCAGUCACACUGGAACUGAGACACGGUCCAGACUCCUACGGGAGGCAGCAGUGGGGAAUAUUGGACAAUGGGCGAAAGCCUGAUCCAGCAAUGCCGCGUGUGUGAAGAAGGUCUUCGGAUUGUAAAGCACUUUAAGUUGGGAGGAAGGGCAGUAAGUUAAUACCUUGCUGUUUUGACGUUACCAACAGAAUAAGCACCGGCUAACUUCGUG
This 484-nucleotide ribosomal RNA is filed under the name uncultured bacterium. RNAcentral describes it as "partial 16S ribosomal RNA". It matches the Rfam family "Bacterial small subunit ribosomal RNA", at positions 30 to 507 of the family's 1533-position model. The record is from RNAcentral.